RNAcentral lists this ribosomal RNA (250 nucleotides) under uncultured prokaryote. Its description in RNAcentral is "partial 16S ribosomal RNA". It matches the Rfam family "Bacterial small subunit ribosomal RNA", at positions 524 to 773 of the family's 1533-position model. The record is from RNAcentral.
UACAGAGGCGACAAGCGUUGUUCGGAUUUACUGGGCGUAAAGCGUGCGCAGGCGGCGGGAUGCGUCCAAUGUGAAAUCCCGGGGCUCAGCCCCGGAAGUGCAUUGGAAACCAUCCCGCUAGAGGCCGGGAAGGGAGUCUGGAACACACGGUGUAGCGGUGAAAUGCGUUGAUAUCGUGUGGAACACCGGAAGCGAAGGCGAGACUCUGGAACGGCACUGACGCUCAUGCACGAAAGCGUGGGGAGCAAAC